This 478-nucleotide ribosomal RNA is filed under the name uncultured bacterium. Its description in RNAcentral is "partial 16S ribosomal RNA". It matches the Rfam family "Bacterial small subunit ribosomal RNA", at positions 30 to 523 of the family's 1533-position model. The record is from RNAcentral.
AUUGAACGCUGGCGGCAUGCCUUACACAUGCAAGUCGAGCGAUGAAGUUCCUUCGGGAAUGGAUUAGCGGCGGACGGGUGAGUAACACGUGGGUAACCUGCCUCAUAGAGGGGAAUAGCCUUUCGAAAGGAAGAUUAAUACCGCAUAAGAUUGUAGUAUCGCAUGAUACAGCAAUUAAAGGAGUAAUCCGCUAUGAGAUGGACCCGCGUCGCAUUAGCUAGUUGGUGAGGUAACGGCUCACCAAGGCGACGAUGCGUAGCCGACCUGAGAGGGUGAUCGGCCACAUUGGGACUGAGACACGGCCCAGACUCCUACGGGAGGCAGCAGUGGGGAAUAUUGCACAAUGGGGGAAACCCUGAUGCAGCAACGCCGCGUGAGUGAUGACGGUCUUCGGAUUGUAAAACUCUGUCUUCAGGGACGAUAAUGACGGUACCUGAGGAGGAAGCCACGGCUAACUACGUGCCAGCCGCCGCCGUAA